UAUGAUAGAGGUUGCGGUUGACAAGAGUACGGUACUUUUCAGACAGGUGUCGGUAUCGGAAAGGGGAAAUCGCCGAAGGGGCUGUGUCGUGCCUGCGUGCAGUUACCUGGGACGAAGGAGAAUAUCUUUCGGACUGUCACGAAAGUGGAGAGCUGUC
RNAcentral lists this non-coding RNA (157 nucleotides) under pig gut metagenome. Its description in RNAcentral is "Lysine riboswitch". It matches the Rfam family "Lysine riboswitch aptamer". Rfam says of the family: Riboswitches are metabolite binding domains within certain messenger RNAs that serve as precision sensors for their corresponding targets. The record is from RNAcentral.